Molecule: long non-coding RNA, 628 nt
Organism: Phoenix dactylifera (date palm)
Lineage: Eukaryota; Viridiplantae; Streptophyta; Magnoliopsida; Arecales; Arecaceae
Source: RefSeq, a predicted model, not a curated record
CCAAAAGAAGGCCCUUCAUGAUUUAUAGCCAAGAAAUUUUUCCCUCCUUCGGUCGGUUUCUUGUUUCUUUCUUUUUAAAGAAUACUUGGCUGGGUGAUUCUUGAGGGCACUUCAAGGGAGGCGAAGAAGGUGCGAUGAGGCCAUGGAGAAUAAUCAAAAUCAUGUUUCACCAUGGAUUAGGAAGUCUCGGCUCUCAGUCUGGAAACAUCACAUUCCAUUAAUGGGAAAAAUCGAAGCAAGUUCUCAUUCAUGCAGAUACGCAGAAAUGUAAAGCCGAGUUUUUUCCCCUGAGAAAGAAGACAGGCAUAACCCAUCACAUUUCUGCAGCUGAGUUAUCAGAGACAUUGGCUAAACAUAUUUAAAUAUCAUAUAAAUAGCAGCCGACCAAGGGAAUCAGCUGAGAUUGUCUUUGCUGACAGAAGUGGGCAUUCAAUUCCAAGAGUGACGUAUCUUUGCUCUUAAUUACCAAAAAAACAGCUGAUUUUGAAUAGCUUUUGCUUCAAAAACUAAAACCUCUCAUGUUUUGAUGAAUUUAAAUGAAUUAAUUUAUUGUGUUUAAAGACUGCUCCACGUGAUAUUUGAUGGUCUUUCAGAUUAUGUUGUUCAAAUUGUAUAGAUACUUUUCCAA